Dreissena polymorpha is the source of this 849-nucleotide long non-coding RNA. RefSeq lists it as uncharacterized. NCBI's taxonomy places the organism in Eukaryota, Metazoa, Mollusca, Bivalvia, Myida, Dreissenidae. The transcript is spliced from 3 exons. The record is from RefSeq and is a predicted model, not a curated record.
GGGUCAAUAAGUGCAUUUUCAAAGGGGCCACUUUGUCCGGACUCUAUUUCAAAUUGUAUUCAUCCGAUCUUCACCAAACUUGGUCAGCAGUUGCAUCUAGUUGAUAUCUAGGCCAAGUUCGAAUAUGGGUCAUGCCGGGUCAAAAACUAGGUCAUAGGGUCAAUAAGUGCAUUUUCAAAGGGGCCACUUUGUCCGGACUCUAUUUCAAAUUGUAUUCAUCCGAUCUUCACCAAACUUGGUCAGCAGUUGCAUCUAGUUGAUAUCUAGGCCAAGUUCGAAUAUGGGUCAUGCCGGGUCAAAAACUAGGUCAUAGGGUCAAUUAGUGCAUUUUCAACGGCGCCACUUUGUCCGGACUCUAAUUCAAAUUGUAUUCAUCCGAUCUUCACCAAAUUUGGUCAGAAGUUGUGUCUAGAUGAUAUGUAGGUCAAGUUCAAAUAUGGGUCAUGCCGGGUCAAAAACUAGGUCACGAGGUUACUUAGUGCAUUUCAAGCAUUUAGCAUGGUGUCCGCUCUCUAAUUGAAGUAGUUUUCAUCUGAUCUUCACCUAAUUUGGUCAGAAGUUGUGUCUAGAUGAUAUGUAGGUCAAGUUCGAACAUGGGUCAUGCCGGGUCAAAAACGAGGUCACAUAGUGCAUUUCAAGCAUUAAGCAUGUUGUCCGCUCUUUAAUUGAAGUAGUUUUCAUCUGAUCUUCACCAAAUUUAGUCAGAUGUUACAUCUAAGUGAUAUCUAGGUCAAGUCCAAAUAUGGGUCAUGCCGGGUCAAUAACUAGGUCUUGAGGACACUUUCAAGCAUUGAGCAUGGUGUCCAAAACCUUCGAACGGGCGUAUCUUGUGACAGUUUGGCACUCUUG